RNAcentral lists this long non-coding RNA (5934 nucleotides) under Sus scrofa (pig). RNAcentral describes it as "lncRNA (ENSSSCG00045000627.1)". The record is from RNAcentral. Lineage: Eukaryota; Metazoa; Chordata; Mammalia; Artiodactyla; Suidae.
AUAAAUGAAAUAACAAGUCUAGAUGACAGCACAUCUGUUUACAACAUACUCAACUAGAUAUUUUAAGCUCACUGUUGAGACCUACUGCUCAGAAAAAAAAAAAAAAAGAAGUUCCUUUCAGAAUGUUCCUGCUCAUUGACAAUGCACCUGGCCGCCCAAGAGCUGUGAUGGAGACGGACGAGGAGAUUAAUGUGACUUUCAGGUCUGCCAACCUAGCAUCCACUCUGCAGCCCAUGAAACUACUACUGCCCACAAAGUUCAAAUUUCAGGUCUUAUUUAAGAAACACUUCAUAAGGCUAUCAAAGCCACAGAUAGGGGUUCCAGAUUACCUCUCCAGAUGCCAUUAAGAACACUCAUGAUUCAGGAGAAGAGGUCAAAAUAUCAGCCUUAACAGGAGUUUGCAAGAAGUUGAUUUCAGCCCUCACGGGUGACUCUGAGGGGUUCAAGACUUUAUAGAGGAAGUCACUGCAGAUGUGGGGGAAACAGCAAGAGAACUGGAAUUGUCAGUAGAGCCUGGAGAUGAGGCCGAAUGGCUGCAAACUCCAGAUGAAACUUGAAAGGAUUUGGAGCUGCUUCUCAUGGAUGAGCAAAGACAGUGAUUUCCCGAGACGGAACCUACUGCUAGUGAAGAGGCUGUGAAGACUUUUGAAAUGACAACAAAGGCCUUAGAUUAUUCCAUAAACAUAGCUGAUGAAGCAGCUGCAGGAUAUGAGAAGAUCGACUGCAGUUUGAAGUCCUCCUGUGGGAAAGUGCUGUCAGGCUGUGCUGCCCGCUACAGAGCAGUUGUUCGUGAAAAGAAGCGUCGGUCAAUGUGCCAGACAUCCCUGUGGCCACCUACCCUUCAGCAGCCACCAGCCGUCAACAUUCAGGCAAGACCUUCCAGCAGCAAGAAGAUUGAUGUGCUGAAGGCUCAGGUGAUGGUUAGCAUUUUUUAGCAAUGAAGUAUUUAAGCCAUGUGCUCUUUUAAACAAUAUAAUGCUACACCUAACAGACUAUAGUGUAAGGUAAACAUAACUUUUAUAUGCACCGGGAAACCGAAAAAAAAAAUUUCACGUGGCUUGCUUUAUUGCAGCAUUCACUGGACUGUGAGGGUCUGGAACAGAACCCACAACAUCUCUGAGAUCUGCCUUGAUGUCCUGCAGAAUGUUCACCAUAAUAGCUCUGUUAACGUGCUUCACCAUAUGUGUAGUUACAAAAAAUUGUUUUUUUCUUGUGAUGAGGAUAAAUCGAGUCCUCUUGGGAAAGGUGGAUCGUUGAAGAAAACCAGAAGCCAGGGUCAUAGGACUUGGCAUAGGCAGCACCUUCUAGUGAAGGAAGAUUCCUGCCAACAGGAAUCCGCCCCCACCACUUCCUCCUCUAGCUGUGGCCCCCUAGAUAGAAUGCCCUCCCCCCACUUUGACUUCAAGUGGCUCCUUCAAAACAUAUAUUUACAUGUAACAAUAUUCUGAAUGUAAAUAAACUCUCUAAAUGCAAAUUAAAACUGUGAUGAGGUACCACCUCACACUGGUCAGAAUGGCCGUCAUCAAUAAGGCUACAAGUAACAAAUGCUGGAGAGGGUGUGGAGAAAAGGGAACCUUCCUGCACUGCUGGGAAUAUAAAUUGGUACAACCACUAUGGGGAACACUAUGGUAACACCUCAGAAAACUAAAACUAGAACUAACACAUGAACCGGCAAUCUGACUCUGGGGCAUAUAUCCAGACAAACCUGUAAUGCAAAAAGAUACACACCCCUGUAUGUUCAUAGCAGCACUAUUCACAAUAGCCAAGACAUAGAAGCAACCUAAAUGUUCAUCAACAUUUAGGAAUGGAUAAAGAAGAUGUGGUACAUAUACACAAUGGAAUGCUACUCAGCCAUAAAAAAGAACAAACUAAUGCCAUUUGCAGCAACACAGAUGCAACUAGAGAUUCUCAUCCUAAGUGGAAUAAGUCAGAAAGACAAAUACCAUAUGGUAUCACUUAUAUGUGGAAUCUAAUAUAUGGCACAAAUGAACCUAUCUAUAGAAUAGAAACAGAUUCAAAGACAUAGGGAACAGACUUGUGGUUCGCAAGGGGAAGGAGGAGGGAGUGGGAUGGCCUGGGAGUUUGGGGUUAGUAGACGCACACUAUUAAAUUCAGAAUGGAUAAGCAGUGAGGUUCUGCUGUACAGCACAGGGAACUCUAUCCAGUCUCUUGGUUUAGAAUAUGAUGGGGGAGAUCAAAAGACUGUAUUUGUGUUUGUGUGUGAGAGAGAGAGACUGGGUCACUUUGCUGUACAGAAAUUAGCACAGCAUUGUAAAUCAACUGUACUUUAAAUAAACUCUCUAAAUGCUAGUUUACAGAAAGGGAGAAGAGUAGAAUUUAAAUCAUUUCUUACUUUGUUUAUUUGGGUUUUUUUCUCUCCUCUUCUUGGUGAGUCUGGCCAGAGGUUUGUCCAUUUUGUUUACCUUUUCAAAAAACCAGCUCUUAGUUUUAUUGAUUUUUUUCUAUUUUCGAAUCUCUGUUUUAUUAAUUUCCUCUCUGAUCUUUAUAAUUUCCUUCCUUCUGCUGAUUUUGGUCUUGUUUGUUCUUUUUCUAAUUCAUUUAGGUGGUGAGUUAAGUUGUCAAUUUGAGAUUUUUCUUAUUUUGAGGAAGGCCUGUAUUGCUGUGAAUUUCCCACUGCUUUUGCGGCAUCCCAUAGAUUUUGAAUGGUUGUGUCUUCAUUUAUCAUUUGUCUCGAGGUAUUUUUUGAUUUCCUUCUCGAUUUCCUCAUUGACCCCUUGGUUUUUUAGUAGCAUGUUGUUUAGUCUCCAUGUAGUCAGUUUUUUUCUCCUUUUUUUUCCUGUGGUUGAUUUCUAGUUUCAUGCCAUUGUGGUCAGAGAAGAUAAUUGAAAUAAUUUCUGUACCCCUCAAUUUGUUGAGGUUAGUUUUGUGGCCCAGUAUGGGGUCAGUCCUUGAGAAUGUUCCGUGUGCACUUGAGUAUGUGUGUAUGUUCUGAUUUUUUUGGAUGUGAUAUCCUGAAAAUGUCAGUUAAGUCUAACUUUUCUAUUGUGUCAGAGAAUUUAAAUCAAAAUAGUGGAAGACAAAUAUUAAGAGACCGAGACCCAAAAGCAGCGCCUCAGUUACCCCCUGAGACUGGGGGUGAACAGUGGGAGUCAACGAGAGCAUGUGGGUGGCCCCAAGGAGCUGACCCCAAGCCAGGAGCCACGCUGGCUGUGUGCUAGACGAGGUGGCCAGGACGGCCUUGCUCGCCUCCUCUGCCUUCUCCAUCCCAGUCAGGGGGGUGGGCUAAGAAUAUGAGAAUGAGUUCGGCCAGCGCAUCUUCCAUCGAAAGCAUGCAGGGGCACUUGGGCCUAUGGGGUGACCAGGGAGACCGGGGUUGCAGUGGUGGGAACAGCCCUGCCGUCCACACUCACCUCCAUGUCAGAGGAAUCCUGCAUCACGAGAACUCUGUCCUGUUAGGCCUGCACACCAUCAGAGCACAGGAGAUAUUCAGCUGUGUUCUCUCAAUAGGCUGAUAACUAAUAAGAUAGAUACAAGGGUGCUUUUUAUUUUUCUAACCAGUGCUGCAGCAUUCAGAUUCAAACUGAGUUAACCAAAGGGAGAAAGAAAAAACAAAAUCUGUACCCUUGCCAUUAUCCCCAACCAACAGCUCAUAUAAAUUUUCAGGAUUCUAUUAUGUAUAUCUUCACGUGAAAACAUUUUCCAUAGUUGUAAUGAGAGCAUACAUACAAUUUUCAAACUGAUUUUCCAUUUACCAGCAUAACCACUUUAUGCUUCAUAGUUAACAUUUGCAUGACCUCAUGACAUUCCAUCCAGUUGAGCAAACGUUCCAGAAUUCACUUAACCAGUUUCCAUAUUCUUAGCCACAUGUGCUUUUUAAAAAUAAUACUGUACAGUUUGCCACAGGCGUACUUGCAUGUCUGCUUUUUCUUUCAUUCACCCUUAGAGUCAGUUUCCAGAACCCGUUUUAUCGAGUCCAUAGCAUGAACUCUGACUCUGACUUUAUGCCAUCAACAGGGACUCCCUGUCACUCUGCCGCUUCUGGCAGGUGUCAGCUCCACGGCCAAGACCAGCACCAAGCGGCCUCCUUUCCGCAGGCUCCAGCUUUCCCAGGGCCUCUCGCUGCCCUGCUCUGUUUCCAGGUGCCCUCCCUGCUGGGAAUGACUCUUGCCUGGUCACUCGGGCCUCCAGGCCUGGGCCAUCUGCAGCGUUCCCUUCCUCGGUAUGGAUGUGUGCACUGGCCCCCAGGGUCCCCAGCAGCCCAGGCCCCGCUCCCCCUGGCUGCUCUCUCUCCCAAGGCAUUUGUCUGCACACCUCCAUGCCCACAUACAUGAGGCUCUGUCAGGCUGCAGCCCAGGGCGAUUCCACUUCUUUGAGGGACUGACUCUUUCCAAGGUCACCAGCCAUAUCCACUGCAGAAGUCAGUUACAUCUUUCAGGCCCUGUUCCUUUGAUCUCUGUGAGGCAUCGGACACCAGCCGUCUGGAAACUUUCUCUUGUCCUGGAUUCCACGUUCUUCCCACCCUUCUGAUGCUUCUCUAUGGAUGUCAGUCGUCUUGUCUCCUCUGUCGCCCCAGCCCCUGACCAAUGGUGUUCCACCAAAUGGGACAGGGGGCACGUGGGUCAAUGCAGAGGGGCCUCCCCAUGCUCUCCAUGCUCUUACGGCAGCUCUAAAGUUACAAACCCAAGUGUGCCCGCUGCCCGGGCCUGUGAUGCCCCAGUCCCUGGUUUCAGUCUCCUUUUCAUCCCCCACACAUGACCCAUUAACAAGCCCAUCUGCUUCCAGGCUUCUAACCCUCCCUGUGCUAACAGCUGCCCAGUCUGUGCCUCCAGCAAGAUUUUCCCUUUGAGUCUGACUCUGGCCAUGACCGCCUGCUGGACGCCUCUAUCUGGAUGUCCUGCAGAAUCUCAGAUUCAGCAGGUACCCAGGAGAACCUUGUCCCCCUCCCCCAUCACAGGUUUACCCAGGGUCUGUGGGUGGUGACACCUCUCUCCAGCAUGUGGUCGAGCUCAAAAGCUGUCCACUGCUUCAGAUGCCUGGCCCAUCCACCCAUCUGUGGCCAUUCUCUCCCUGGGAGCUUGUCUGUCCUGCCCUGAGGCUCUCAGACCCCUCCUCUCCUGUCCAUCCUUCUUUGCUGCCUGAGUUCACAGCCCUUGUCAGUUCCUGCCAGGAGUAUUCCAAAUACCUGCAGGUAGCCUCCUUCCUGAGCCUGUCAUUCCCCACACAUCCCGAGUGGUGACAUGGUUGGUGUAAACAGGCAGGCUUGCUGGGUUCUGCGACAGUCCACUUCUUGUUCCCUGCACAGCUUUAGGCAGAUUUUUUUUUUCCCCAAUUUUCAGGGCCAUGCCUGUGGCCUAUGGAAGCUCCCAGGGUAGGGAUUGAAUCAGAGCUGCAGCAGUGGCUUACACCACAACCACAGCAAUAUGGGAUCCAAGCCGUGUCUGUGAACUACACCACAGCUCGUGGCAAUGCUGGAUCCUUAACCCACUGAGCAAGGCCAGGGAUUGAACCUGCAUCCUCAUGGAUGCUAGUUGGAUUCAUUUCUGCUGCACCUCGUGUUCACAGCAGCACUGUUCACUGUAACCAAAAGUGCUCACGGGCCAGUCAUCCACCAACAGGCGAAUGGGUAAGCCAGACAUCAUCCAUACAUACCAGGGAGUACUACUUAGCCUUAAAAAGGAAGGAGAGGAGUUCCUGUCGUGGCGCAGUGGUUAACGAAUCCAACUAGGAACCAUGAGGUUGCAGGUUCGGUCCCUGCCCUUGCUCAGUGGGUUAACGAUCCGGCAUUGGUGUGAGCUGUGGUGUAGGUUUCAGACGCGGCUCGGAUCCCACAUUACUGUGGCUCUGGCGUAGGCCAGUGGCUACAGCUCCGAUUGGACCCCUAGCCUGGGAACCUCCAUAUGCCGCGGGAGCGGCCCAAAGAAAUAGCAAAAAGACACACACACACACACAAAAAAAAAAAAAAAAAAAAAAAAA